AGUGAACGCUGGCGGUAGGCCUAACACAUGCAAGUCGAACGGCAGCACAGUAAGAGCUUGCUCUUACGGGUGGCGAGUGGCGGACGGGUGAGGAAUACAUCGGAAUCUACUUUUUCGUGGGGGAUAGCGUAGGGAAACUUACGCUAAUACCGCAUACGACCUACGGGUGAAAGCAGGGGAUCUUCGGACCUUGCGCGAUUGAAUGAGCCGAUGUCGGAUUAGCUAGUUGGCGGGGUAAAGGCCCACCAAGGCGACGAUCCGUAGCUGGUCUGAGAGGAUGAUCAGCCACACUGGAACUGAGACACGUCCAGACUCCUACGGGAGGCAGCAGUGGGGAAUAUUGGACAAUGGGCGCAAGCCUGAUCCAGCCAUACCGCGUGGGUGAAGAAGGCCUUCGGGUUGUAAAGCCCUUUUGUUGGGAAAGAAAAGCAGCAGGUUAAUACCCCGCUGUUCUGACGGUACCCAAAGAAUAAGCACCGGCUAACUUCGUG
RNAcentral lists this ribosomal RNA (491 nucleotides) under uncultured bacterium. Its description in RNAcentral is "partial 16S ribosomal RNA". It matches the Rfam family "Bacterial small subunit ribosomal RNA", at positions 29 to 507 of the family's 1533-position model. The record is from RNAcentral.